Centruroides sculpturatus (bark scorpion) is the source of this 181-nucleotide long non-coding RNA. RefSeq lists it as uncharacterized. The record is from RefSeq and is a predicted model, not a curated record. NCBI's taxonomy places the organism in Eukaryota, Metazoa, Arthropoda, Arachnida, Scorpiones, Buthidae. The transcript has 4 exons.
AACAUUAACGAUGCUCUUUGUCUUCCUCACAUUGGAGAGAGUAAAUUACCGUGACUUUUUGAUCAAGUAAAAUUGUUUAGAAUAAAAAUACAUUUUCUAAAGAUGCUGCAAGAGUUUAAAAGAGAGAUUGCAGAUGAUAAAAUAUUAAUUUUUAAAAUUUGGAUACUUGGAAUCAAACGCG